This 468-nucleotide ribosomal RNA is filed under the name uncultured bacterium. RNAcentral's name for it is "partial 16S ribosomal RNA". It matches the Rfam family "Bacterial small subunit ribosomal RNA", at positions 28 to 507 of the family's 1533-position model. The record is from RNAcentral.
GACGAACGCUGGCGGCGUGCUUAACACAUGCAAGUCGAACGGAAAGGCCCUGCUUUCGUGGGGUGCUCGAGUGGCGAACGGGUGAGUAACACGUGAGUAACCUGCUCUUGACUUUGGGAUAACUUCAGGAAACUGGGGCUAAUACAGUAUAGGAGCUCCUGUUGCAUGGUGGGGGUUGGAAAGUUUCGGCGGUUGGGGUUGGACUCGCGGCUAAUGAGCUUGCUGGUGGGGGAGUGGUUUACCAAGGCUGUGACGGGUACCCCGCCUGAGAGGGUGGCCGGCGACAUUGGUCCUGAGAUACGGCCCAGUCUCCAACGGGAGGCAGCAGUGGCGAAUAUUGCACAAUGGGCGGAAGCCUGAUGCGGCAACGCCGCGUGCGGGAUGCCGGCCUUCGGGUUGUAAACCGCUUUCGCCUGUGACGAAGCGUGAGUGACGGUACUGGAUAAAGAAGCACCGGCUAACUACGUG